GACGAACGCUGGCGGCGUGCCUAAUACAUGCAAGUCGAGCGAGCUUGCCUAGAUGAAUUUGGUGCUUGCACCAGAUGAAACUAGAUACAAGCGAGCGGCGGACGGGUGAGUAACAUGUGGGUAACCUACCCAAGAGACUGGGAUAACACCUGGAAACAGAUGCUAAUACCGGAUAACAACACUAGACGCAUGUCUAGAGUUUAAAAGAUGGUUCUGCUAUCACUCUUGGAUGGACCUGCGGUGCAUUAGCUAGUUGGUAAGGCAACGGCUUACCAAGGCAAUGAUGCAUAGCCGAGUUGAGAGACUGAUCGGCCACAUUGGGACUGAGACACGGCCCAAACUCCUACGGGAGGCAGCAGUAGGGAAUCUUCCACAAUGGACGCAAGUCUGAUGGAGCAACGCCGCGUGAGUGAAGAAGGGUUUCGGCUCGUAAAGCUCUGUUGGUAGUGAAGAAAGAUAGAGGUAGUAACUGGCCUUUAUUUGACGGUAAUUACUUAGAAAGUCACGGCUAACUACGUG
This 519-nucleotide ribosomal RNA is filed under the name uncultured bacterium. RNAcentral's name for it is "partial 16S ribosomal RNA". It matches the Rfam family "Bacterial small subunit ribosomal RNA", at positions 28 to 507 of the family's 1533-position model. The record is from RNAcentral.